CCUACGGGAGGCAGCAGUGGGGAAUAUUGGGCAAUGGGCGCAAGCCUGACCCAGCAACGCCGCGUGAAGGAAGAAGGCUUUCGGGUUGUAAACUUCUUUUAUGAGGGACGAAACAAAUGACGGUACCUCAUGAAUAAGCCACGGCUAACUGCGUGCCAGCAGCCGCGGUAAUACGUAGGUGGCAAGCGUUAUCCGGAAUUAUUGGGUGUAAAGGGUGCGUAGACGGGAGUCUAAGUUAGUUGUGAAAUCCCUCGGCUCAACUGAGGAA
Molecule: ribosomal RNA, 268 nt
Filed under: uncultured bacterium
Lineage: Bacteria
Description: partial 16S ribosomal RNA
Rfam family: Bacterial small subunit ribosomal RNA
Source: RNAcentral